CCUUAUGGGAGGUGGUGACCUGGAACGACUUCCUGUAAAAACCUGCAAAUCGUGAAGCAUCUGGAACGCAACUAAAGUUCACAUUAAAAUGGUAAACCCUGUGAACACCAAAACGCUCCUGAACCCCUAAUCACAUUAGUGGAUGGGGGAUUAUGGAAAGGGCGGUAUGACGUGGGGCAUGUUUAUGCCACGGCCUCACCCCGAUAUAAUACGCGAGUGGUUCCGGGGAGGUGGGUUUUGGAGAGUUUCGCACGGGCCACUUGAUGGAUAGUUUCCCUAUCCCAACGUCCGUUAAAAAAAAAACACUUGCACGACAGCGAUACCGCUGCGAUAUAAUAUUGCAUACGUAUCGCAUGUGCAACACGGUUUGUUGAACGAGGUGAAAUUAGUAUGGCGCAGAAUUUUUUUCGGCAUAAGCAUGGCCGUUUCACAAGAGGAAGCAUCUUCCUCAAUUUUUUUAGUCGAAUUAAUAAAAAAACCGAUGGUUAAUGGAGCUAUACAGAAAAAGAGUACUGUAGAACAGACAUGACUAGUUUGGCAUGGAGAAAUAUAGCGUCUGGGGUCAAGGACACAGGUAAGUACACAAUAGAAUAUUUUUGUCAUGGUUUAUUUGCCUUUGUUUUCACAUCUUUAAAAAUAAAUUAAAAGAAACCAAUCAUUUUAUUUAUUCAUUUAUUUGUUUAAUUAUCUACCGGACACUCCUCACAGACAAACAGGAAAAAAAUUAACACGUUAUACAAAAAUAGUCAUAAUAUUUAUACAUACAGGAUAACAACAACAUAUGUGUAAAUUAUUUGAAAAUAAAAUAAUCAUUGAUAUUAAUUUUAAAACGUUCUCUACAUGAGUAAAGGUCGACAUAAUUACAAACAGAGUCACAUAGGCAAAUGGAUCUGUGAAUGGGCUCAUUGUUAGCAAAUUCCGUUUUUCGCGUUGGUUUACGUAUUUUUCUCCUAGAAGCCUCUCCGGCGCAUAAAAAGGCAGAAGCGAAAGUAGUUCUGGGGAAUCGAUUUUGUUAUCGCAUAUAUCCUUGAUGAAAAGAAUACUACAAAUUUUUCUCUUAUUAGCAAGGUAUUGUAAAUUCAGUAUUCUGCAUCUCAGCUCGUAAGAUGGCAUAGAUUCGUAAGAAAACAUUCGUCGAAGGGCAAAUUUUUUAAUUUAAUUAAUUUAAUUUAAUUUAUUUAAUAUUAGAUUGAAAACAUUAGUGCAUUAAGAUGUAAUCUUUACUUGCACAAUGAUACAAACAAAUUGCAAAAAAAUAAAAUAAAAAGUACAGAUAAUAAUUAAUAUUACAAUAUAGAUUAAGGUAAUGUAUACGUUGAAUUACAAAUCAUAUAUUCUAAAAUAAAACAAAACAAAGUUGCCUAUGUGCAACACGUUCUUCCAGGACAGUGGAAGGGAGUUCCAGAGCCUUACCGCAUUAAUAAAAACAGUCUUGAAGUGCAUAAAUAGUUAAAUCUCGGAAGAAUAGGACCUGACGAACGUGUACUCUUGGAGAACUUAAGAUUAUUGUACAGAUAUUCCGUGCUCUUCGUGAUAAAUAAUUUGAACAUAAAAAUGCAAUUACGCGCGUUCAGAACAUUUUGUAAAUCACAGGUUAGUAUAGAAUCACGUAUAGAUGAGAGAUGAUCGUAUUUCUUUAAACCAAAUACAUACCUUGUGGCAGAGUUAAUGGCGAUAUUCAAUUUUUGGAGUGAAUGAGAGUCUAAUUUGCCGUAGACGAUUUCAAAGUACGUGAUAUAAGGAACAAUUAAACUUGUAAUUAACUUUUUCUUAGUGGCUACCGGUACAUAAGGUGAAUUACUCUAAGACAUCGUAGAGUAAAAAAAUAUUUUACUCACAACUUCAUCAACAUGAUCAUCACACGCAAGUCUAGAGUUAAUAACGAAACCCAAACUCCUGGCUUUGUCAACUAAUUUAAGCUGGCUGGGACCAAUAAAUAAGGUGGGAAUAUCCGAUGCCAAAAAUUUAUCUUUGGCGACAGGUAUUACACAAGAUUUUUGAGCAUUGAGGCAAAGUAAAUUCCCCUAGACCAUGCUAAUAUUGAGCUUAAGUCCUCGUUAAGUUGUAGACAAAUAUCCUGAAUCGAUCCCAUUUUAUUAGAAACAUACAGCUGCACAUCAUCGGCAUAGGCGUGUAAGCGCGCAUGAGCGCAGGUGCUGAAAAUGUCAUUUAUGAAGAUGCUAAACAAAAGUAGGCCCAGUAUGGAUCCCUGAGGGACACCAGAGUAUAUAUGCACGAGGUUAGAACAAUUAUUGCCGAUUUUCACCUUUUGAAACCUGUCGCUCAAAUAGGUCUCUUUGAGUUUUACUGCAGUUUUGCUGAAGCUGAAAUACUUAGCUAGUUUUUCACACAAUAAAUUGUGGUUUACAGAAUCAAAAGCCUUAGAAAAAUGAAGCAGACAAAGUAGUGUUAAAUGGCCUUGAUCGAAUGGCUGACGUAUAUCGUCUAAGACUUUAACAACAGCGGUAGAACAGGAGUGACCAGCUCUGAAACCACUCUGCAGAGGGUUUA
This 2511-nucleotide long non-coding RNA is filed under the name Rhagoletis pomonella (apple maggot). RNAcentral describes it as "uncharacterized LOC118749961". Lineage: Eukaryota; Metazoa; Arthropoda; Insecta; Diptera; Tephritidae. The record is from RNAcentral.